This 2658-nucleotide small RNA is filed under the name Histoplasma capsulatum. Its description in RNAcentral is "hypothetical RNA". Lineage: Eukaryota; Fungi; Ascomycota; Eurotiomycetes; Onygenales; Ajellomycetaceae. The record is from RNAcentral. RNAcentral also lists the same sequence under 1 other name.
CAUAACAGACCAGCAUUCGCCUUGCUGACCCGGGGCUGCUGAUCGUGCGACUUUGGCCCUAGCACUUGAUGCGCAACCGCACCGCAACAGCGCAGCAGCAGAAACUCCCGUCCAAUGCCAAGACGGACCACUGCAUCCCCAGCAAAGAAGCGAGGGCGAAGGAAAAGACCCAAAUGCUGGCUUAUUGCCGGUGGUUCGCAGCUCGAGUUGAGAAGGAGACUUGUUCUGUGCUUUCUUAUCCCUAAGCAGCCAUGCUUUCCACAGCUAUCCACAAUGGCGUAACCAAACAGGUUACAAAACCCAAGUUGAAGUCCCAUUCCGAACACCUCAUGAAGCGCGUCUCGAGAGCGUGUUUGCACUGUCGCCAGCGCAAAUCUAGAUGCGACUUGGACAGCAGUGGAAGUCCGGGCACUCCGCCUUGCCAGCGUUGUCUACGAGACCAUCGUGAAUGCGUCCUAGGUAGCUCAAACAGAGGGGGUCGCCGUAUCCGCAAGCCGAAAACUGCCAAUCUUGAGAUGCAUUCCAAUUCCUCACCGGCCAGAGUGAUGCAGCUUGCUCCGAGUGGUGCCCCUGGCCCGACGGACCCACAUUCGUUCCCGCGGCCAUAUCCAUCAGAUCACUAUGGGAGAUCGGAUCCACCCACUGCAUCUACGAUCAAUAUAGAGGACGACGAUUCAGCUUCAACUACUGACAGCGCAAUCGGAUCCGUUCCACGGAACCCGUCUGACGCAUGGCAAUGUUUGACAAACGUUGCCAAGCGAGGCGCAGAAAGCGCAAAUCUCGAGAAAACGGGAGAUCAUUAUUCCGAAUCAAAAAGCCGUGUUCGACUUCCUGGGGUUGAAGACGAGGAGUCUGAACCAGGAAUCAAGGCAUAUCGUCUUAUCAAGAAUAGGUCGCUCACCCGUGAAACCGUUUCCCAGCUGGUGACGCGUUACGCCGACAAUUUCCAUCCUUAUCUCCCCCUGGUCCCACGAAAGUAUUUUGAUCCAUCUGCCCUGGAAUCAUUUGCGUCCCAGGAGAAGCAUCUUCUGACUGCGGUCCUCACCAUUGCCUCAAAGGACCUUGUGGAAACGCCUCAGGUUCAUGAGGUUUGUUCCAAGUAUAUGCACGAGCUCAUCUCUGGCAUCGCUGCUGGUGCAGAUUGCGAUGUCGAAGCGGUCGAGGCACUGCUCAUCCUUGCUGAAUGGGAGCCCCAGGGCCUACGGCCAAAGAUUGAAGCUGUAGGGCGAGGAGAGGAAGACAGAGCGGCAUGGAUGCACGUUGGGCUGGCUCUCCGCUCUGGAUAUUUCCUUGGACUUGAUCGUACUUCUUUUAGAGGCGAUCCAGCAAACGACACCCAAAACGACGGGCGGAAGCGAUUGGCAUGGACCAGCUGCUAUAUUUCAGAUGGCCCUGGCCCUAUGACUGGGCUUGUCUCUAAAGACUUUCCGUCUCUACAGCCUCUCACCUCAACGGAUGAAGAUUAUGCGAAGAUUUUCCAGGCACUCUUGGAUCUCACACAACUGUACGGAAACGUCCAUGAUGUCCUCUACUCGGGAAUGCGCACGAGCAGUCAGAUGAUGUUAAUGGGGGACUAUGUGAAAUACGUUGAUGACUUUCGCAAUGCCAUUGAGCGCUGGAAUCGAAAUUGGGGUACAUUGACUUGCUCUCAACACAUCAAAGUAACUCUGCAGAUGUCUUACGAAUAUCUGAGGCUGUACACAAACGCGUUUGCCUUCCAAGCGGCGAUUUCUCAAGCACUCACCUCCAAACCCAAGGGAGAUGCUCCUAGCCAACGAGAGCACCUACGGGCAGCAUUUAGCAAUGUUGCAUCCAUGCAGGACGCCCGUUUUAUAUACGCAUCAGUUGAUGCGGCGAAGUCCUAUCUCACAAUCUUGAAUAACUACGUUGAUCCCGAGAAACAUUUACAUUUCAUGCCCUUACGAUAUUAUCUGUAUAGCAUUUAUGCGGCAGUAUUUUUAUACAAGGCCCGCUCAUUUGGAGUAAUGAAUGCUCCAGAGGAGCAAGCCGUUCGGCAUCUGAUAAACCUUACCACAGACAGACUCCACAGAGCGAGUGCUGGUCCCGACGACAUCGGCUCCCGAUAUGCUCGAUUGCUCGAACUUCUGUGGAAACCCAAGGCAUCGUCAUCGUCAUCGAAUACUCAAGAGCAUCAGCGCAAGGAUGAAAGUGUCCCGACAGGAACAGUCCCAAAUAGGCUGCCAGAACAGCCCUAUAUGCAGUAUUCACCAAUGAACGAUUUCUCAUGGUUGGAUCUCGAGGCUGUAGGUGACUAUGUCUCUGGAUAUCCCAUGGGGAAUCCCACCUUCAUGGGCAUGAAUUCGUUUCCGCAUCAUAAUCCAUAUCCGGUAACCUCAGAGGCGAUUUGGCCCGUUCAAAAUUGGCCGGUCGAUCUUAACGGCAAUUUAUUAUUUUGAGCUCCGGUUUUGUCUUGUGGAGGCAUUUUAUUUUGUCCGAGAGUGCUUUCUCUGACCAGUUCGAGUUUAGUAUAUGAGGUGCCUAACCCUGGCCAAAGUCCACGCGGGUGGUCUCCUGAAGUUCCUCUUUGGGAACAUUGCGGGGUGGGAUUACGUCACCACUUAAAAAAACUGAACAGCUUAACUAUUGCAACCAAACCAUGACGAGACGUGCUACGAUUUGUUUGUAGUGCAUAUCCUC